Molecule: ribosomal RNA, 440 nt
Filed under: uncultured bacterium
Lineage: Bacteria
Description: partial 16S ribosomal RNA
Rfam family: Bacterial small subunit ribosomal RNA
Source: RNAcentral
CCUACGGGAGACAGCAGUGGGGAAUAUUGGACAAUGGGGGGAACCCUGAUCCAGCGACGCCGCGUGAGUGAAGAAGUAUUUCGGUAUGUAAAGCUCUAUCAGCAGGGAAGAAAAUGACGGUACCUGACUAAGAAGCCCCGGCUAACUACGUGCCAGCAGCCGCGGUAAUACGUAGGGGGCAAGCGUUAUCCGGAUUUACUGGGUGGAAAGGGAGCGUAGACGGUGCAGCAAGUCUGAUGUGAAAGGUCGGGGCCCAACCCCGGGACUGCAGUGGAAACUCUUGAACUGGAGUACAGGAGAGGUAAGCGGAAUUCCUAGUGUAGCGGUGAAAGGCGUAGAUAUUAGGAGGAACACCAGUGGCGAAGGCGGCUUACUGGACUGUAACUGACGUUGAGGCUCGAAAGCGUGGGGAGCAAACAGGAUUAGAUACCCGUGUAGUC